UGCUGGGUGGAUUAGUGGCGAACGGGUGAGUAACACGUGAGUAACCUGCCCUUGACUUCGGGAUAACUCCGGGAAACCGGGGCUAAUACCGGAUAUGAGCCGCCUUCGCAUGGGGGUGGUUGGAAAGUUUUUCGGUCAGGGAUGGGCUCGCGGCCUAUCAGCUUGUUGGUGGGGUGAUGGCCUACCAAGGCGACGACGGGUAGCCGGCCUGAGAGGGCGACCGGCCACACUGGGACUGAGACACGGCCCAGACUCCUACGGGAGGCAGCAGUGGGGAAUAUUGCACAAUGGGCGAAAGCCUGAUGCAGCGACGCCGCGUGAGGGAUGAAGGCCUUCGGGUUGUAAACCUCUUUCAGCAGGGAAGAAGCGCAAGUGACGGUACCUGCAGAAGAAGCGCCGGCUAACUACGUGCCAGCAGCCGCGGUAAUACGUAGGGCGCAAGCGUUGUCCGGAAUUAUUGGGCGUAAAGAGCUCGUAGGCGGUUUGCCGCGUCUGGUGUGAAAACUCGAGGCUCAACCUCGAGCUUGCAUCGGGUACGGGCAGACUAGAGUGCGGUAGGGGAGACUGGAAUUCCUGGUGUAGCGGUGGAAUGCGCAGAUAUCAGGAGGAACACCGAUGGCGAAGGCAGGUCUCUGGGCCGCAACUGACGCUGAGGAGCGAAAGCAUGGGGAGCGAACAGGAUUAGAUACCCUGGUAGUCCAUGCCGUAAACGUUGGGCACUAGGUGUGGGGCUCAUUCCACGAGUUCCGUGCCGCAGCAAACGCAUUAAGUGCCCCGCCUGGGGAGUACGGCCGCAAGGCUAAAACUCAAAGGAAUUGACGGGGGCCCGCACAAGCGGCGGAGCAUGCGGAUUAAUUCGAUGCAACGCGAAGAACCUUACCAAGGCUUGACAUGCACG
This 898-nucleotide ribosomal RNA is filed under the name Cellulosimicrobium sp. Its description in RNAcentral is "bacterial SSU rRNA". It matches the Rfam family "Bacterial small subunit ribosomal RNA", at positions 81 to 992 of the family's 1533-position model. Lineage: Bacteria; Bacillati; Actinomycetota; Actinomycetes; Micrococcales; Promicromonosporaceae. The record is from RNAcentral.